Molecule: ribosomal RNA, 253 nt
Filed under: uncultured bacterium
Lineage: Bacteria
Description: partial 16S ribosomal RNA
Rfam family: Bacterial small subunit ribosomal RNA
Source: RNAcentral
UACGAAGGGGGCUAGCGUUGCUCGGAAUCACUGGGCGUAAAGCGCGUGUAGGCGGUCCGGUAAGUCCGCUGUGAAAGUCGGGGGCUCAACCCUCGGAUGCCGGUGGAUACUGUCGGGCUUGAGUACGGAAGAGGCGAGUGGAAUUCCUGGUGUAGCGGUGAAAUGCGUAGAUAUCUGGAGGAACACCGAUGGCGAAGGCAGGUCUCUGGGCCAUAACUGACGCUGAGAAGCGAAAGCAUGGGGAGCGAACAGG